GGGUGAAUCAUUGUCGAAUGUGAAAAGGAAACUUUACCAAAUUGGUACUCCAAUAUCAUCAAGGGGAAAACAUCUGGAUAAAUUAAGAUACCUAAAUGUAGAAUUUACUGAACGUAAAAAACUUACAUUUCUUGUUAUUUAUGUGAAUUUUAAUAUUUUAUUCUGUGGUUGGGUAUUUUGUUAAUCUAUUUUGCUUCUAACUGGUACCUCCGAAGAAAUAAAUUGCUACUCACCAGCAGAUGUCGCCACUGGACAUAAAAGUUUUAGCUCCUGGAUCACAGAUGGCGCUGUUCAAGAAAAAUCACAACCAAGAAGACCUUUAUAAUGUAUUGACGAGCCCUUGUCAUUUCUUUGGCCCUGUGUGCCUAAUACUACUGGACGGAGAACUGAUAAGGGCUUGUCUUGCAUAAAACCAGCGUUGGAACCACUGAAGACUUUUCUUCUAUCGUAUCUUUAUACAGAAUGUUCCAAAAAUGGUAUUUCUCAAUAUAACUAUUCGUGGGUGGCAUCACAUUACCCUUUUUGGAAAACUGUAUAUUUUAUAUGAUCUCUCAAGAUUUCUGCGGGCAUUUAGUACUCCGAAU
Long non-coding RNA from Plutella xylostella (diamondback moth), 584 nucleotides. RefSeq lists it as uncharacterized. The record is from RefSeq and is a predicted model, not a curated record. Lineage: Eukaryota; Metazoa; Arthropoda; Insecta; Lepidoptera; Plutellidae.